UACAAAAUAAAUUAAAUAAUUUUAUAUGAAUAAAUUUGAUUUUUUUAUAUAAAAUAAUAAUAAAGUUAAUAAAAUUUAGUAUAAAAUUAGAAAAAUAAAUAUUUUAAUAUAAUUUGUAUUGAAAAAGAAAAUAUUAUUGUUAUAUAAAAAAUAUUAAUUUUUUAUACCUUUUGUAUCAGGGUUUAUUAAAAUUAAUAAAAUUAAAUUUUAUUUCUCGAAAUAAAAUGAUUUAAUUAAAUAUGAUAGUUAUUGUAUUAAUAAUAUUAUAAAUAAUUAAUUUGUAAUGAUAGGUUUAUCAAAUUUUAUAUAUCUAGUUAUUUUAUAAAUAAAUUUAAUUUAUUUAAAAUUAUAUUAUUAAAUUAAUUAUUUAAUUUAUUAUUUAAUUUUAUUAAUAUUAUUAGGGAUAAACUUAGUAAUAAUUUUAAUAUUUUAAUAAUUAUUAUAUUAUAUUUUUAUAAAAAUAUAAAUUUUUAUUAAUAAAUAAUUUGUAAUAAUUAAAAUUUUAAAUAUAUAAUUUAUAAGUUAAUUUAUUUGAUUAUAAAAUUAUUAAUUAUAAUUAUAUAAAAUUAAUUAAUAAUGAUAAAAUUAGUAAAAUUAAAUUUAAUAAAUUAUUAAAUUUAUUGAUUAUUUAAAGGAAUUAGGCAAAUAAUUUAUUCAACUGUUUAUUAAAAACAUAGUUUAAUAGAUUAUAAUAUUAAAUUAUUUCUGCUCAAUGAUUUUUAAAAUUAAAUAGCUGCAGUAUUUUGACUGUACAAAGGUAGCAUAAUCAAUUGUCUUUUUAUUAAAGUCUGGAAUGAAUGAAUUAAUGAAAUAAUAACUGUCUCUAAAUAAAUAGAAUUUAAAUUUUAUUAUUAGUUAAAAUUCUAAUAUUUAAUUAAAAGACGAGAAGACCCUAUAGAAUUUUAUAAAUAAUUUAAUAUUUAAAUUAUUAAAAAUUUAAAUAUUUUAAAAUUUAUUAUAUUGGGGGGAUAAAAAAAUUUAAAAAAUUUUUUUAAUUUAUUAAACAAAUAUAUUUGAAUUAUUUAUAUCUAAUAUUAUUAAAUUUAUAAUAAAUUACCUUAGGGAUAACAGCGUUAAAUUUUUAGAGAGUUCAUAUUGAUAAAAAUUAUUGCGACCUCGAUGUUGAAUUAAAAUAAAUUAUUAUUGUAGAUAAUAAUAUAAUUUAGUCUGUUCGACUAUUAAAAUUUUACAUGAUUUGAGUUUAGAUCGGUGUAAGCCAGAUCGGAUUCUAUCUUUAAUUUAAUAAAAUAUUUUUGUACGAAAGGACUUAAUAUUUAUAAUAAUUAUUAAAAUAUUUGAAUUAAAUUA
This 1308-nucleotide ribosomal RNA is filed under the name Muscidifurax sinesensilla. RNAcentral's name for it is "16S ribosomal RNA". Lineage: Eukaryota; Metazoa; Arthropoda; Insecta; Hymenoptera; Pteromalidae. The record is from RNAcentral.